GGGGUUGUGGCUCAGUGGUAGAGCACUUGCCUCACAAGUGUGAGGCACUGGGUUCAAUUCUCAGCACCA
RNAcentral lists this transfer RNA (69 nucleotides) under Ictidomys tridecemlineatus (thirteen-lined ground squirrel). RNAcentral's name for it is "Spermophilus tridecemlineatus (thirteen-lined ground squirrel) tRNA". It matches the Rfam family "tRNA". From Rfam's summary of the family: Transfer RNA (tRNA) molecules are approximately 80 nucleotides in length. Their secondary structure includes four short double-helical elements and three loops (D, anti-codon, and T loops). Further hydrogen bonds mediate the characteristic L-shaped molecular structure. tRNAs have two regions of fundamental functional importance: the anti-codon, which is responsible for specific mRNA codon recognition, and the 3' end, to which the tRNAs corresponding amino acid is attached (by aminoacyl-tRNA synthetases). tRNAs cope with the degeneracy of the genetic code in two manners: having more than one tRNA (with a specific anti-codon) for a particular amino acid; and 'wobble' base-pairing, i.e. permitting non-standard base-pairing at the 3rd anti-codon position. Lineage: Eukaryota; Metazoa; Chordata; Mammalia; Rodentia; Sciuridae. The record is from Rfam by way of RNAcentral.